AGAGUUUGAUCCUGGCUCAGGACGAACGCUGGCGGCGUGCUUAACACAUGCAAGUCGAACGGAAAGGCCCUUCGGGGUACUCGAGUGGCGAACGGGUGAGUAACACGUGGGUGAUCUGCCCUGCACUUUGGGAUAAGCCUGGGAAACUGGGUCUAAUACCGAAUAUGACCAUGCGCCUCCUGGUGUGUGGUGGAAAGCUUUUGCGGUGUGGGAUGGGCCCGCGGCCUAUCAGCUUGUUGGUGGGGUAAUGGCCUACCAAGGCGACGACGGGUAGCCGGCCUGAGAGGGUAACCGGCCACACUGGGACUGAGAUACGGCCCAGACUCCUACGGAAGGCAGCAGUGGGGAAUAUUGCACAAUGGGCGCAAGCCUGAUGCAGCGACGCCGCGUGAGGGAUGACGGCCUUCGGGUUGUAAACCUCUUUCAGCACAGACGAAGCGCAAGUGACGGUAUGUGCAGAAGAAGGACCGGCCAACUACGUGCCAGCAGCCGCGGUAAUACGUAGGGUCCGAGCGUUGUCCGGAAUUACUGGGCGUAAAGAGCUCGUAGGUGGUUUGUCGCGUUGUUCGUGAAAACUCACAGCUUAACUGUGGGCGUGCGGGCGAUACGGGCAGACUUGAGUACUGCAGGGGAGACUGGAAUUCCUGGUGUAGCGGUGGAAUGCGCAGAUAUCAGGAGGAACACCGGUGGCGAAGGCGGGUCUCUGGGCAGUAACUGACGCUGAGGAGCGAAAGCGUGGGGAGCGAACAGGAUUAGAUACCCUGGUAGUCC
Molecule: ribosomal RNA, 771 nt
Filed under: uncultured bacterium
Lineage: Bacteria
Description: bacterial SSU rRNA
Rfam family: Bacterial small subunit ribosomal RNA
Source: RNAcentral